UACGUAGGAGGCAAGCGUUGUCCGGAUUUACUGGGCGUAAAGAGCGUGUAGGCGGUGAGCUAAGUCUGCCGUGAAAUCUCCGAGCUCAACUCGGAUGGGUCGGUGGAAACUAGCUAACUAGAGGACGGUAGAGGGGGGUGGAAUUCCCGGUGUAGUGGUGAAAUGCGUAGAGAUCGGGAGGAACACCAGCGGCGAAGGCGGCCCCCUGGGCCGCUCCUGACGCUGAGACGCGAAGGCCAGGGUAGCGAACGGG
RNAcentral lists this ribosomal RNA (253 nucleotides) under uncultured bacterium. Its description in RNAcentral is "partial 16S ribosomal RNA". It matches the Rfam family "Bacterial small subunit ribosomal RNA", at positions 524 to 776 of the family's 1533-position model. The record is from RNAcentral.